Molecule: long non-coding RNA, 2007 nt
Organism: Triticum aestivum (bread wheat)
Lineage: Eukaryota; Viridiplantae; Streptophyta; Magnoliopsida; Poales; Poaceae
Exons: 2
Source: RefSeq, a predicted model, not a curated record
UCUUCUGGAAUUUUAAUUAGCAAGGGCAGCCUUGAAGGUACUCGGAUGAUCUUAACUUGUGGCUCUUUUUUUUCUUUUUGCUUGACUGCAGUAUCUUCCCAUUUCUUCUGCCAUAAUCAGAUAUCAUUCUAGAGAGCUUGUCAAAGAAAAUAUACCAUGAGCUAAUGAAAAGUAUUCAAAUGCCUAUAUACUGACCACAUUCGGACAUUUACCCUUGUAGAAAUUAGAGUCUCCUUACUGAAGCUUGGCAAUAACAUUACUAAAUGAAGAAAUUAGAGUCUCCUUACUGAAGCUUGGCAAUAACAUUACUAAAUGAAGGUACUCGGAUGAUCUUAACUUGUGGCUCUUUUUUUCUUUUUGCUUGACUGCAGUAUCUUCCCAUUUCUUCUGCCAUAAUCAGAUAUCAUUCUAGAGAGCUUGUCAAAGAAAAUAUACCAUGAGCUAAUGAAAAGUAUUCAAAUGCCUAUAUACUGACCACAUUCGGACAUUUACCCUUGUAGAAAUUAGAGUCUCCUUACUGAAGCUUGGCAAUAACAUUACUAAAUGAAGGUACUCGGAUGAUCUUAACUUGUGGCUCUUUUUUUCUUUUUGCUUGACUGCAGUAUCUUCCCAUUUCUUCUGCCAUAAUCAGAUAUCAUUCUAGAGAGCUUGUCAAAGAAAAUAUACCAUGAGCUAAUGAAAAGUAUUCAAAUGCCUAUAUACUGACCACAUUCGGACAUUUACCCUUGUAGAAAUUAGAGUCUCCUUACUGAAGCUUGGCAAUAACAUUACUAAAUGAAGGUACUCGGAUGAUCUUAACUUGUGGCUCUUUUUUUCUUUUUGCUUGACUGCAGUAUCUUCCCAUUUCUUCUGCCAUAAUCAGAUAUCAUUCUAGAGAGCUUGUCAAAGAAAAUAUACCAUGAGGUAAUGAAAAGUAUUCAGAUGCCUAUAUACUGACCACAUUCGGACAUUUACCCUUGUAGAAAUUAGAGUCUCCUUACUGAAGCUUGGCAAUAACAUUACUAAAUGAAGGUACUCGGAUGAUCUUAACUUGUGGCUCUUUUUUUCUUUUUGCUUGACUGCAGUAUCUUCCCAUUUCUUCUGCCAUAAUCAGAUAUCAUUCUAGAGAGCUUGUCAAAGAAAAUAUACCAUGAGCUAAUGAAAAGUAUUCAAAUGCCUAUAUACUGACCACAUUCGGACAUUUACCCUUGUAGAAAUUAGAGUCUCCUUACUGAAGCUUGGCAAUAACAUUACUAAAUGAAGGUACUCGGAUGAUCUUAACUUGUGGCUCUUUUUUUCUUUUUGCUUGACUGCAGUAUCUUCCCAUUUCUUCUGCCAUAAUCAGAUAUCAUUCUAGAGAGCUUGUCAAAGAAAAUAUACCAUGAGCUAAUGAAAAGUAUUCAAAUGCCUAUAUACUGACCACAUUCGGACAUUUACCCUUGUAGAAAUUAGAGUCUCCUUACUAAAGCUUGGCAAUAACAUUACUAAAUGAAGGUACUCGGAUGAUCUUAACUUGUGGCUCUUUUUUUCUUUUUGCUUGACUGCAGUAUCUUCCCAUUUCUUCUGCCAUAAUCAGAUAUCAUUCUAGAGAGCUUGUCAAAGAAAAUAUACCAUGAGCUAGUGAAAAGUAUUCAAAUGCCUAUAUACUGACCACAUUCGGACAUUUACCCUUGUAGAAAUUAGAGUCUGCUUACUGAAGCUUGGCAAUAACAUUACUAAAUGAAGGUACUCUGGAUGAUCUUAACUUGUGGCUCUUUUUUCUUUUUGCUUGACCGCAGUAUCUUCUCAUUUCUUCUGCCAUAAUCAAAGAUUAUUCUAGAGAGCUUGUCAAAGAAAUAAACCAUGGGCUAAUGGAAAGUAUAUGAAUGCCUAUAUACUGACCACAUCGGGACAUUUACCCUAAAAGAGAUUAGGGUCUGUUUACUUAAGCUUGGCACCAACAUUGCUAAAUUAGAAAUAAGACAAAUGGUGGACCUUGUUUGUCAUUCUCAAUCUUUUCUAUUACUAAUAAUUUUCGUUAAUUAUUAA